AUGCCGGCCAGCGCCGCCGAGGCCGCCGCGGAAGGCGAGGAGAAGGCGGCAGAGGCUGGGGGCAGGGAGCUGCUGUACUGCGGCACGGUGCGCUUCGACAUCAUGGGCCGGAAGGUGAAGGGAGGGCAUGAGGGCAGAGGCAACCUGGUGUCCCCGACGCGGCUGCGCCCUCUCGUGGGCGUGGACAUCCGCUUCGUCGCCUCUGGCUGCGCGGCUUGCCAUUGUGUUGCUCUGAGUGCUGACGGCCGUUGCUUCUCAUGGGGUCGAAAUGAGAAUGGGCAGCUGGGACAUGGGGACACUCUCUUGCGUAACCUGCCAAGUGUUGUUUCUGAACUAUCAAAAUAUAACAUAAUUGCAGCAGGUGUUGGAAGAAAACAUACAGUGGUCGUAACCGACGAAGGGAAGUCCUUCGCAUUUGGUGACAACAAACAUGGACAACUGGGGACCGGUUCACUGAAGAGUGGAACUGUGGUGUCGCCAGUCCCCUGCCUUGUUACUGAAGUGACUAAUGCUGUUUGUGGUGCUGACUUUACUGUCUGGCUGUCAUCAGUCGAGGGCUCUUCAAUACUGACAGCAGGUCUUCCGCAGUACGGCCAACUUGGUCAUGGAAGCAACAAUGAGUAUAAUGCCAAAGUUUCAUCGGUAAGUGUAGUGUAUGAUCCCCAGCCCCAUCCGAGAGCAAUAGCUGCAUUAUCUGGGAACACUGUUGUCAAAGUUGCAUGUGGAACAAAUCAUACAGUUGCAGCUGAUUCAAGUGGCUUUGUUUACACCUGGGGUUUUGGUGGAUAUGGAAGGUUGGGCCACAAUGAACAGAAGGAUGAGUGGCAACCACGCCUUGUUGAAAUAUUUCAAAAGAACAAUAUCCUGGGUCCCAAUGAUAUUAUCUCAGCUGGUUCUGCAAGUUCUGCCUGCACUGCUGGUGAUCUCGUAUCGCAUAUGAUUGGAAGAAAAUAG
This 954-nucleotide ribosomal RNA is filed under the name Triticum aestivum (bread wheat). RNAcentral's name for it is "partial small subunit ribosomal RNA". Lineage: Eukaryota; Viridiplantae; Streptophyta; Magnoliopsida; Poales; Poaceae. The record is from RNAcentral.